This 253-nucleotide ribosomal RNA is filed under the name uncultured bacterium. RNAcentral's name for it is "partial 16S ribosomal RNA". It matches the Rfam family "Bacterial small subunit ribosomal RNA", at positions 524 to 776 of the family's 1533-position model. The record is from RNAcentral.
UACGGAGGGGGCUAGCGUUAUUCGGAAUUAUUGGGCGUAAAGGGCGUGUAGGCGGCUUCGUGUGUCCCAUGUGAAAGCCCCCGGCUCAACCGGGGAACGGGCCUCGAGACGGGUCGCCUGGAGGCGAGGAGGGGGACCUGGAACUUCCGGUGGAGCGGUGAAAUGCGUUGAGAUCGGAAGGAACGCCGAUGGCGAAGGCAAGGUCCUGGACUCGGCCUGACGCUGAGGCGCGAAAGCCAGGGGAGCGAACGGG